GCUAGUGUGGCAGAGCUAGGCUAAUGCAAAAGAUCUAAGCCCUUUUCACAGAGGUUCAACUCCUCUCUCUAACU
RNAcentral lists this transfer RNA (74 nucleotides) under Acentrophryne dolichonema. RNAcentral's name for it is "tRNA-Leu". It matches the Rfam family "tRNA". From Rfam's summary of the family: Transfer RNA (tRNA) molecules are approximately 80 nucleotides in length. Lineage: Eukaryota; Metazoa; Chordata; Actinopteri; Lophiiformes; Linophrynidae. The record is from RNAcentral.